UACAGAGGGUGCGAGCGUUGUCCGGAAUCACUGGGCGUAAAGGGCGCGUAGGUGGCGACCCAAGUCGAUGGUAAAAGCUCGCCGCUCAACGGCGAGUCGGCCACCGAUACUGGGUUGCUGGAGCACUGUAGAGGCAGAUGGAAUUCCGGGUGUAGCGGUGGAAUGCGUAGAUAUUGGGAGGAACACCAGUGGCGAAGGCGGCUCACUGGACCGGAACUGACGCUGAGGUGCGAAAGCCAGGGGAGCAAACGGG
Molecule: ribosomal RNA, 253 nt
Filed under: uncultured bacterium
Lineage: Bacteria
Description: partial 16S ribosomal RNA
Rfam family: Bacterial small subunit ribosomal RNA
Source: RNAcentral